GACGAACGCUGGCGGCGUGCUUAACACAUGCAAGUCGAACGGAAAGGCCCUGCUUUUGUGGGGUGCUCGAGUGGCGAACGGGUGAGUAACACGUGAGUAACCUGCCCUUGACUUUGGGAUAACUUCAGGAAACUGGGGCUAAUACCGGAUAGGAGCUCCUGCUGCAUGGUGGGGGUUGGAAAGUUUCGGCGGUUGGGGAUGGACUCGCGGCUUAUCAGCUUGUUGGUGGGGUAGUGGCUUACCAAGGCUUUGACGGGUAGCCGGCCUGAGAGGGUGACCGGCUACAUUGGGACUGAGAUGCGGCCCAGACUCCUACGGGAGGCAGCAGUGGGGAAUAUUGCACAAUGGGCGGAAGCCUGAUGCAGCAACGCCGCGUGCGGGAUGACGGCCUUCGGGUUGUAAACCGCUUUCGCCUGUGACGAAGCGUGAGUGACGGUAAUGGGUAAAGAAGCACCGGCUAACUACGUG
RNAcentral lists this ribosomal RNA (468 nucleotides) under uncultured bacterium. Its description in RNAcentral is "partial 16S ribosomal RNA". It matches the Rfam family "Bacterial small subunit ribosomal RNA", at positions 28 to 507 of the family's 1533-position model. The record is from RNAcentral.